CUCUCUCUCUCUCUCUCUCUCUCUCUCUCUCUCUCUCUCUCUCUCUCUCUCUCUCUCUAAAAAGAUGACACCCAUCUAUAUAACAUCAGUAGCAGUUGCUCCCCUUAUCUAUUUGGUGGUAAGAGGUGAUAUUUAGCUUUAUUUUAGCUUUCCCCACCUGAAAACCCCAUUUUUCCCCUAGGUCCUCAAGAUUGGACUAGGUAAAAGGCAAAAGUAAUAGUAGCACUAAAUAGAGCUGCAUGGUCAGUUAUAUUAUAUACUAAAUGUUAGCAUAGAUAAAUAGGAAGCCACAUCACUGCUUCUCCUCUAGUGACAUCUUGAUCUUGAUCUUACUGCUUCCAUCCUAAAGUAAUUGAAAAUUAUACCUAACUCAGCCUAAUUGAUAAUUGACAAUUUAAUGUGAAAUGGGAUGGAUAUGUCGCUCUGAGGGUAGGAGGAAUAUGGGGUUGAAAAUACAUCAUCAUUGGUGUGAAAACAUUCUGAUUUAAUGAAGAUGGUUUUGCAUUCAAAUGACAAAGAAAACAAGGCAGUUAUUUAACAUUUUUAUUUGUAUAAAAUAUAUGAGUGCACUAUUCAAGGUGACACAACUUUAUGCUCUUAAUUCUGAAUAUACUAACUAUACAAUAAUGAUACCAUAUAAAUAUUUGCAUUCUGAAAUUGUAUAUGAGCAGAAAGGUUGUUCUGUGAAAUGAAUCUAAUGGAUAAUAAGACAUGUAUUCAUGAAAAAAAAGUCACCAAAUUUUGAGCACAAUGAACCUGUGACACCUUAUGAGGCACACUUGUUUAUUGAAUCUUUGUUCUCUAACAAAUUUAGUCUAAGUGAAACAUGUUAAGACCUUACAAAGUUUAUUUUCGUUUUCAUGACCAUUGUAAUAUUUUGUACACAAUCAUGUAUGUAAUUUUAUAAGAUAUUGAAUGAAUAUAUAUUACAGAUGAAUGCUGUGGAUGUGAUACUGUUACUGGCAGAUACUCUGCCCUUUGAGCUCAAUGGUACUAUUGCCAUGUCAGAGGCCCUCUGGUACAUGGGUUUAUACUGGUACAUUCAUACUACACUGAUGCUUCCAUGAGUAGUAUGUAUCUGAUCCAAUAUAAUAUUUAAUUAUAAUUAGAAGGGUUUUCUUUGAAUUAUUGUUUAUUUUUUUAAUUUUAAGUAAGGUAGCUCAGCAGUGUGUUGAAUAAAGCUUAAAAAGUUGCUACAAAGUUCAUCUGUCACAUAGAUAAUUGCAAAUUAUUAUGUAUGCUACAGGAUGUCAUGCAAUCUUCAUUUUGUACAUGUACACAAGCUGUAGUGACUGAUCAUUAUAGGCAUGUGUAGCACCAAACUUACAGGUAAUCAACAAUCACUUCAUUAUCUGAUUAAUUUAUAAGGAGGCAAUAUCUCAAAUGCCUCAUUUAAAAGCAGGGGCACAUAGACUGCUUAAUUGUACAGGUUCAAGGCACCUUACUGCAUUGUAACCUGGCUCAUAUACUACUAAACUUUCAAUAAAUUGGAGUUGAUCUGAAGCUGCAUCCUAACAAGUAAUGGUUUACUUUUGUUUAUCAGUGUAUUAUAUGAGGUGUCCGGAGUUAAGGGGCAAUAUUGCCAAAUCUGUCAUUCUUAGUGACGUGUACUAUGCAAUAGGCACAUCCACUUUCUGUGAUUUCCCUAAAAUAGUGCAAGGUAUACUGACCCUUUUUUUUUUUUUAAAAAGAGAAUCAAGGAUGUAUUACCAGUAAUUGCAAACAAAAAUUCCUUAUCAUCAUGUAGUGGCUGCCACAGGUAAAGAGGAUGUAAAUGUUCUUUGUAAUUGAAUUCUGUAAUGAUGCAUUGAUUAUAAUUAUUAUUCAUUGAACAAAUUCAUCAAUAAUCAAUGAAUGAUCAUUAAAUUUAAAUGGAGACAAAAAUUAUAAACCAUCAAAAUAAAUAAAAAUCAACCUUAUACCAACUCAUAUGCUGCAGUACAGAAAUAGAAAGUAUAUAUUGAUUAACAACGAGUAGCUUUAUUGGAAAAAUAUCAUCUGCCUCACUAAGAUCAGUCAUUGAUAAGUGGCAUUGCUCCAACUCUUCUGAAGAUGCAAGAAAACCUGACAUCAACAUCUAACUUUGUCUCAAGAGGUAAACAAGGGUAGUCUGCAGUGUGGUGAUUCAUUUUGAUGUUAUAGCACACAAGUUGUAUCCAAAAAAAGGUUGUACACUGCUCCUGCCACUCCAGCUAGCCCCACCACACCAUGCCUUAUUAGUCAUAUAGAAACCCCUAUUAACUGUUGUCAGGAGUUGUGUCACCCAUAUUAAAAGAAUUCCUUCCCAUUCUAAUAGCAACAGAUUCAAGGUUUUGAGUGAAGAAGGAAGUGGAUACUGGUUGGAAUAUUGAGAGGCCAACUAUCCAAGUUAUGCACUCAUACCUGUGAGUCAUGUAAAUGUUUGUGUAUGCCUGGUGGACACCUAGACAACAUCACAGCAACAUGCAACAAGGCAGCCAGCGGAACAGAAGAUAAUGACCUUUUUCGUCAUCUACACAGACCUACCUGGGCCACCACCACCACCACCACGAUGCACCGGCACCGCACCUUGAGCCGCACCAUGUUGCUGGCUGGCUCCUCCUGUAAAAUUACCCUGAUCAGUAAUUAAAAAAAUUCUAAGAUCAAGUGACCUUAUCUACUAUACAAUUUAUCAUGUUUCUGUAAACUCAAUAUGAAGAAAAGUUUUGA
Molecule: long non-coding RNA, 2688 nt
Filed under: Portunus trituberculatus (swimming crab)
Lineage: Eukaryota; Metazoa; Arthropoda; Malacostraca; Decapoda; Portunidae
Description: uncharacterized LOC123520144
Source: RNAcentral